AAGCAUCAAGGGGUGAUUUAGAUCAUGUAAUCAACAUGGUUGGAUAUUGUUUUUUCACCCUUUAUACUUUAUCAGGGCAGUAGGUAAACAAAAAAAAAAGCAUACGUGGAUAGUUAUUGUGAGCGGUGAAAAUGUUAAAAAGUAGAUGGAGAAAAAAAGGAAGACAUAAACGCUAGGACACAAACUGCGUGACCAUGUCCACGUCAGCAAGUCUAUUUGUGAACGGUACGUAUUGGAUAGAUCAGGGAGUCAAGUGAACCAAAAAAAGGUUAAGAGGAUUAUGCGAACAUCCCAUUCAAUUUAGGGGAGUAGAUUAGACUUUUUUC
RNAcentral lists this long non-coding RNA (326 nucleotides) under Hordeum vulgare. Its description in RNAcentral is "long non-coding RNA (HVUL_LNC006052)". Lineage: Eukaryota; Viridiplantae; Streptophyta; Magnoliopsida; Poales; Poaceae. The record is from RNAcentral.